RNAcentral lists this ribosomal RNA (1242 nucleotides) under metagenome. Its description in RNAcentral is "bacterial LSU rRNA". It matches the Rfam family "Bacterial large subunit ribosomal RNA", at positions 1564 to 2815 of the family's 2925-position model. The record is from RNAcentral.
UGAAUACGAGACGCUAAGGCGUCGAAGUAGUGUAUGUCAUACUUCCAAGAAAAGCUUGCACUGUCAUAAGUAAAAAAUGCCUGUACCAUAACCGACACAGGUGGGUAGGUAGAGUAUACUAAGGGGCGCGAGAUAACUCUCUCUAAGGAACUCGGCAAAAUAACUCCGUAACUUCGGGAGAAGGAGUACCUUAUUCUAUAAGGUUGCAAUAACAAGAUCCAAGCAACUGUUUAUCAAAAACACAGGUCUCCGCUAAGUCGUAAGACGAUGUAUGGGGGCUGACGCCUGCCCAGUGCCAGAAGGUUAAAGAAGUCGGUUAGCAUUAGCGAAGCUGGUAACUGAAGCCCUGGUGAACGGCGGCCGUAACAAUAACGGUCCUAAGGUAGCGAAAUUCCUUGUCGGGUAAGUUCCGACCCGCACGAAAGGCGUAAUGAUUUGGAUACUGUCUCGGAGAGGGGCUCGGUGAAAUAGACUUGUCUGUGAAGAUGCGGACUACCUGCACCAGGACAGAAAGACCCUAUGAAGCUUUACUGUAACUUGAAAUUGAAAUUGGACUUUAUUCGCGCAGUAUAGGUGGGAGGUGUUGAUUAUAAUCUUGCGGGAUUAUUGGAGCCAUCAGUGAGAUACCACUCUUGUAAUGUUAGAUUUCUAACUUUGAACCAUUAUCUGGUCAAAGGACAGUUUCAGGCGGGCAGUUUGACUGGGGCGGUCGCCUCCCAAACGGUAACGGAGGCGUACAAAGGUUUCCUCUGAACGGGUAGAAAUCGUAUCUAGAGUGUAAAGGCAUAAGGAAGCUUGACUGUGAGACCUACAAGUCGAACAGGGACGAAAGUCGGUCUUAGUGAUCUGACGGCACUGAGUGGAAAGGCCGUCACUCAACGGAUAAAAGUUACUCUAGGAUAACAGGCUGAUCUCCCCCAAGAGUUCACAUCGACGGGGAGGUUUGGCACCUCGAUGUCGGCUCAUCGCAUCCUGGGGCGGUAGUACGUCCCUAGGGUUGGGCUGUUCGCCCAUGAAAGCGGUACGCGAGCUGGGUUCAGAACGUCGUGAGACAGUUCGGUCCAUAUCCGGUGUAGGCGUUAGAAUAUUGAGAGGAGCCUUCUUUAGUACGAGAGGACCGAGAAGGACAUACCUCUGGUGUACCAGUUAUCGUGCCAACGGUAAACGCUGGGUAGCUAUGUAUGGAGUGGAUAACCGCUGAAAGCAUCUAAGUGGGAAGCCCACCUCAAGAUAAGUAUUCUG